UACGGAGGGUGCAAGCGUUAUCCGGAUUCACUGGGUUUAAAGGGUGCGUAGGCGGGCAGGUAAGUCAGUGGUGAAAUCCUAGAGCUUAACUCUAGAACUGCCAUUGAUACUAUCUGUCUUGAAUAUUGUGGAGGUAAGCGGAAUAUGUCAUGUAGCGGUGAAAUGCUUAGAUAUGACAUAGAACACCAAUUGCGAAGGCAGCUUACUACACGGUCAUUGACGCUGAGGCACGAAAGCGUGGGGAUCAAACAGG
RNAcentral lists this ribosomal RNA (253 nucleotides) under uncultured bacterium. RNAcentral describes it as "partial 16S ribosomal RNA". It matches the Rfam family "Bacterial small subunit ribosomal RNA", at positions 524 to 776 of the family's 1533-position model. The record is from RNAcentral.